This 253-nucleotide ribosomal RNA is filed under the name uncultured bacterium. RNAcentral's name for it is "partial 16S ribosomal RNA". It matches the Rfam family "Bacterial small subunit ribosomal RNA", at positions 524 to 776 of the family's 1533-position model. The record is from RNAcentral.
UACGUAGGGCGCAAGCGUUGUCCGGAUUUACUGGGCGUAAAGAGCGUGUAGGCGGCCACGCAGGUCCGUUGUGAAAACUGGAGGCUCAACCUCCAGCUGUCGACGGAAACCGUGUGGCUAGAGUCCGGAAGAGGAGACUGGAAUUCCUGGUGUAGCGGUGAAAUGCGCAGAUAUCAGGAGGAACACCGAUGGCGAAGGCAGGUCUCUGGGCCACUACUGACGCUGAGAAGCGAAAGCAUGGGGAGCGAACAGG